Molecule: ribosomal RNA, 397 nt
Filed under: uncultured bacterium
Lineage: Bacteria
Description: partial 16S ribosomal RNA
Rfam family: Bacterial small subunit ribosomal RNA
Source: RNAcentral
AUACGUAGGGGGCAAGCGUUAUCCGGAUUUACUGGGUGUAAAGGGAGCGUAGGUGGCAAAUCAAGUCAGAUGUGAAAGCCCGGGGCUCAACCCCGGGAUUGCAUUUGAAACUGGUAUGCUAGAGUGCAGGAGAGGUAAGUGGAAUUCCUAGUGUAGCGGUGAAAUGCGUAGAUAUUAGGAGGAACACCAGUGGCGAAGGCGGCUUACUGGACUGGAACUGACACAGAGCCUCGAAAGCGUGGGGAGCAAACAGGAUGAUAUCCCCGGGUAUUCCACGCCGUAAACGAUGAAUACUAGGUGUCGGGGGGCAAAAGACCGUCGGUGCCGUCGCAAACGCAUUAAGUAUUCCACCUGGGGAGUACGUUCGCAAGAAGGAAACUCAAAGGAAUUGACGGGG